UACGAAAGGGGCUAGCGUUGCUCGGAAUCACUGGGCGUAAAGGGUGCGUAGGCGGGUCUUUAAGUCAGGGGUGAAAUCCUGGAGCUCAACUCCAGAACUGCCUUUGAUACUGAAGAUCUUGAGUUCGGGAGAGGUGAGUGGAACUGCGAGUGUAGAGGUGAAAUUCGUAGAUAUUCGCAAGAACACCAGUGGCGAAGGCGGCUCACUGGCCCGAUACUGACGCUGAGGCGCGAAAGCGUGGGGAGCAAACAGG
RNAcentral lists this ribosomal RNA (253 nucleotides) under uncultured bacterium. RNAcentral's name for it is "partial 16S ribosomal RNA". It matches the Rfam family "Bacterial small subunit ribosomal RNA", at positions 524 to 776 of the family's 1533-position model. The record is from RNAcentral.